AUGCUUACUAAAAGCAGAAUUUUUUUAGUUAAAUCUUUAUGUUCCUUUUUGAUCAAUGAUGGAGUGGGAUUUCCACACAAAUUCUUGUGGAAAACGAACAUACCAUCAAAAAUCAAAAUGUUUUUUUGGCUUUUGGUUAGGAGAAGCAUUUUGACAAAAGAUAACUUGCUGAGGAAAGGAUGGAAAGGACCAAAAGAGUGUGUAUACUGUGGGAAGGAAGAGAACAUUGACCACUUAUUUUUUGAGUGCUCGGCGGCCAGAUUGGUCUGGAGCCUAAUCAAAUGUGCUUUUGAUCUUAGAUGUUGCCCAACCAAUCUCAAUGAUUACUUGGGAGGGUGGUUGAAAACCUUUAAGAAACCAGAGAAAAAAUUAGUAUUGGUGGGGAGUGCUGCCAUAUUCUGGGCUCUUUGGAAAUGUAGAAAUGACAUAAUUUUCAGACUGAGAAAAAUUCAUGAUCCAAUGAUUUUCAUUCGUCUGAUGUGUAAUUGGAUUGUGGACUGGUCGAUUUUGCAGAGAAAAAAGCCGGAGAAAAGACUACUGCAGCCGGGAGCAAAACUAAUCGAGCGGGUAGCAAGUGAUAUAUACAAGGCAACGCAGGGGUGGAGGUUGGGAGUUCGGCGGCUGGAGGCUUAA
RNAcentral lists this ribosomal RNA (633 nucleotides) under Triticum aestivum (bread wheat). RNAcentral's name for it is "partial small subunit ribosomal RNA". Lineage: Eukaryota; Viridiplantae; Streptophyta; Magnoliopsida; Poales; Poaceae. The record is from RNAcentral.